CAGCCACCCCAGGUGUCUGUCCCAGAGCUGCCCCUAAGCCUGACCUCUGAGGGGCCUUGCAGGGAACCCAGCAGCCAGGUGGACUUUUCCAGCUCUGGAUGAAUGUGAACAGGGCCAUGCCUGGGGCCGAGUCAUCGCUUGCUCACCGACCUUCGGGAUCCUCCACCUGAGGGCCAGAAUGCUCUCCGGUGCUCGAGCCCUGUUAGGCAAAGUAGGUAGAGCCCCUUCCUCACCCUCAGACUGCGGCAUAGGACAGCACGAUGCGGGACACCUCAGCCACACUCCCAGGUCACACAGAAUGCACAGCGCAGCUCAGGCUCCAUGCCGGUGUCCAGGCCCGAGCUCUGUGGCUUCCCCUGUCCUCUGUCUGCUCUUCCCCAGGACAGCGGCAGCCACCUGGACCUCCGUGGCCCUGACCACUGGGCUGUGAUGGAGGUGACGCGUGUCACUCUAGGCCACAGCCUGUGAGUGCUGGUGUCUAGCCCUCUGUUCUCUCCUUUCUUCUGGUGGUGGCCACAGAGGCCGUGGCUUGAAAUGGGGAGGCCCCGGGGCUUGGAUGGCCGGGCCAUCACACCAGGCACAGCGUGGUGCCUCACAGACUUCUGUUCACAAACUGCACAGCGCUUCCCAGGGAAGGUGGCACAGGACUGUCCACAACACAGCUGCAAGGCCAGGCCGAGCAUAGCGAGGGUCGGCCCCAGCCCUGGCCUCCUGGUCCUGCUUUCCUCCACCUGCACUGAGCUUGCCCCGUGGCUGUCCCUGUCUCCACCCCAGUGGCCAUGUCCAGAUGGCAGCUGCGGGGCUCUGAA
This 809-nucleotide long non-coding RNA is filed under the name Heterocephalus glaber (naked mole-rat). Its description in RNAcentral is "lncRNA (ENSHGLG00000039358.1)". Lineage: Eukaryota; Metazoa; Chordata; Mammalia; Rodentia; Bathyergidae. The record is from RNAcentral.